UGUAAUCCCAGCACUUUGGGAGGCUGAGGCGGGCGGAUCACCUGAGGUCAGGAGUUCGAGACCAGCCUGGCCAACAUGGUGAA
Molecule: non-coding RNA, 83 nt
Filed under: Chaetoceros curvisetus
Lineage: Eukaryota; Bacillariophyta; Thalassiosirophyceae; Chaetocerotales; Chaetocerotaceae
Source: RNAcentral